CGGAGGGUGCAAGCGUUAAUCGGAAUUACUGGGCGUAAAGCGCACGCAGGCGGUCUGUCAAGUCGGAUGUGAAAUCCCCGGGCUCAACCUGGGAACUGCAUUCGAAACUGGCAGGCUAGAGUCUUGUAGAGGGGGGUAGAAUUCCAGGUGUAGCGGUGAAAUGCGUAGAGAUCUGGAGGAAUACCGGUGGCGAAGGCGGCCCCCUGGACAAAGACUGACGCUCAGGUGCGAAAGCGUGGGGGAGCAAACAGGAUUAGAUACCCUGGUAGUCCACGCCGUAAACGAUGUCGACUUGGAGGUUGUUCCCUUGAGGAGUGGCUUCCGGAGCUAACGCGUUAAGUCGACCGCCUGGGGAGUACGGCCGCAAGGUUA
This 372-nucleotide ribosomal RNA is filed under the name uncultured organism. RNAcentral's name for it is "bacterial SSU rRNA". It matches the Rfam family "Bacterial small subunit ribosomal RNA", at positions 526 to 896 of the family's 1533-position model. The record is from RNAcentral.